RNAcentral lists this ribosomal RNA (468 nucleotides) under uncultured bacterium. RNAcentral's name for it is "partial 16S ribosomal RNA". It matches the Rfam family "Bacterial small subunit ribosomal RNA", at positions 28 to 507 of the family's 1533-position model. The record is from RNAcentral.
GACGAACGCUGGCGGCGUGCUUAACACAUGCAAGUCGAACGGAAAGGCCCUGCUUGUGUGGGGUGCUCGAGUGGCGAACGGGUGAGAAACACGUGAGUAACCUGCCCGUGACUUUGGGAUAACUUCGGGAAACUGGGGCUAAUAGCGGAUAGGAGCUCCUGCUGCAGGGGGGGGGGGGGAAAGUUUCGGCGUUUGGGGAUGGCCUCGCGGCUUAUCAGCUUGUUGGUGGGGUAGUGGCUUACAAAGGCUUUGGCGGUUAGCCGGCCUGAGAGGGUGACCGGCCACAUUGGGCCUGAGAUCCGGCCCAGACUCCUACGGGAGGCAGCAGUGGGAAAUAUUGCACAAUGGGCGGAACCCUGAUGCAGCAACGCCGCUUGCGGGAUGACGGCCUUCGGUUUGUAAACCGUUUCCGCCUGUGACGAAGCGUGAGUGACGGUAAUGGGUAAAGAAGCACCGGCUAACUACGUG